CAGCUAAGUCAACGAGUUGGCCGAGUAGUCACGGCCAAUUCAACCCGCGAUCUCUCUGGGGUCGCGGGUUUUUCUUGCGCUGCACUAUAGAUACUUCGCUGAAACCGUGCAUUCAGUAACCUCGAUUCGUACCACGGCAGACUCGUUGUCUGUCGUGGUUUUUUCGUUUGCCGCUCUAAAUAAAAGCAUGAACGUGACUUUCAACGAACAGCUUGCCGGAGUGAAUUUCGUGUUUCAGGCAGGCCGUACUUACGACCUAGACGACGAGAAGGCAGAACGCUGGAUCAAAGCGGGUCUCUGUCGUCCUACAAAGCUCGAAACUGCUGACGCUGUACCAAAACGCGAGACGGCAGACGCAACCCCGACGCGCAAGCCACGAACGCCUAAGCCUGCGGC
This 396-nucleotide unclassified non-coding RNA is filed under the name plant metagenome. RNAcentral's name for it is "partial contains 5.8S ribosomal RNA, internal transcribed spacer 2, and large subunit ribosomal RNA". The record is from RNAcentral.